This 833-nucleotide ribosomal RNA is filed under the name uncultured Bacteroidota bacterium. Its description in RNAcentral is "bacterial SSU rRNA". It matches the Rfam family "Bacterial small subunit ribosomal RNA", at positions 121 to 956 of the family's 1533-position model. Lineage: Bacteria; Pseudomonadati; Bacteroidota. The record is from RNAcentral.
GCAACCUACCCUUUACAGGCGGAUAGCUCGGGGAAACUCGAAUUAACCCGCCAUAAUAUAAUUGGAUGGCAUCAUUUGGUUAUUAAAUCUGAGGAGGUAAAGGAUGGGCAUGCGUCUGAUUAGCUAGUUGGUAGUGUAAUGGACUACCAAGGCGAUGAUCAGUAGGGGAACUGAGAGGUUGAUCCCCCACACUGGCACUGAGAUACGGGCCAGACUCCUACGGGAGGCAGCAGUAGGGAAUAUUGGUCAAUGGGUGAGAGCCUGAACCAGCCAUGCCGCGUGCAGGAAGAAGGCCUUCUGGGUUGUAAACUGCUUUUGCCAGGGGAUAAAAUUUCCUUGCGAGGAAAAUUGAAGGUACCUGGUGAAUAAGCCACGGCUAACUACGUGCCAGCAGCCGCGGUAAUACGUAGGUGGCAAGCGUUGUCCGGAUUUAUUGGGUUUAAAGGGUGCGUAGGCGGCCCUGUAAGUCAGUGCUGAAAUAUCCCAGCUUAACUGGGAGGGUGGCAUUGAUACUGCGGGGCUAGAGUACAGAUGAGGUAGGCGGAAUUGACGGUGUAGCGGUGAAAUGCUUAGAUAUCGUCAAGAACACCUAUAGCGAAGGCAGCUUACUAGGCUGUAACUGACGCUGAGGCACGAAAGUGUGGGGAUCAAACAGGAUUAGAUACCCUGGUAGUCCACACUGUAAACGUUGAUUACUCGCUGUGUGCGAUAUACAGUACGCGGCCAAGCGAAAGCGCUAAGUAAUCCACCUGGGGAGUACGCCGGCAACGGUGAAACUCAAAGGAAUUGACGGGGGCCCGCACAAGCGGAGGAGCAUGUGGUUUAAUUCGAUG